Molecule: unclassified non-coding RNA, 592 nt
Filed under: uncultured marine bacterium
Lineage: Bacteria
Description: partial contains 16S ribosomal RNA, 16S-23S ribosomal RNA intergenic spacer, and 23S ribosomal RNA
Rfam family: Bacterial large subunit ribosomal RNA (bases 480-592)
Source: RNAcentral
ACCCUUGACCACGGUAUAGUCAGCGACUGGGGUGAAGUCGUAACAAGGUAGCCGUAGGGGAACCUGCGGCUGGAUUACCUCCUUUCUAAGGAUGAAUGAAAGUAAAAUUUCAUUCUAAAUAAUAUACAUCGGUAAUGUUGACCGUCCUCAUUUCUCUUCUUAAAGUAAUGUUUCCUUCUUGUAGGGCCGGUAGCUCAGUUGGUUAGAGCACACCCUUGAUAAGGGUGGGGUCGAAAGUUCGAGUCUUUCUCGGCCCACCAUACUUAACUGGGGGAUUAGCUCAGCUGGGAGAGCGCCUGAUUUGCAUUCAGGAGGUCAGCGGUUCGAUCCCGCUAUCCUCCACCAGGAAACAUUUAGUUAUAAAAACUGUGAAUAAAUUUAAUAAUUAAUAUCAAUAUCUAUAUCCGAACAUUAGUAAUGUUAUUAGCUAAUGUUCAAAAUAAAAAUUUGAUUCAACACAGAAUUUUUUUCUGUGCAUAAAUCAAGCGUUUAAGGGCGUGUAGUGGAUGCCUUGGCACUGAAAGCCGAUGAAGGACGUGAUAUACUGCGAUAAGUUUCGGGGAGCUGUAUGUAAGUUUUGAUCCGAAAAUUU